ACGCGCGGAACCUUACCAGCCCUUGACAUGGGCGUCGUACCCUGGGGAGACCUGGGGGUCGGUUCGGCCGGACGCCACACAGGUGCUGCAUGGCUGUCGUCAGCUCGUGUCGUGAGAUGUUGGGUUAAGUCCCCGCAACGAGCGCAACCCUCGUCUUCAGUUGCCAUCGGGUAGGGCCGGGCACUCUGAAGAAACUGCCGGUGACAAGCCGGAGGAAGGUGGGGAUGACGUCAAGUCCUCAUGGCCCUUA
RNAcentral lists this ribosomal RNA (250 nucleotides) under uncultured bacterium. RNAcentral's name for it is "partial 16S ribosomal RNA". It matches the Rfam family "Bacterial small subunit ribosomal RNA", at positions 959 to 1204 of the family's 1533-position model. The record is from RNAcentral.